UACAGAGGUCCCAAGCGUUGUUCGGAUUCGCUGGGCGUAAAGGGUGCGUAGGUGGUGAGGUAAGUCGGAUGUGAAAGCUCGGAGCUCAACUCCGAAAUGGCAUUGGAAACUACCUUGCUCGAGGGUUGGAGGGGGGACUGGAAUACUUGGUGUAGCAGUGAAAUGCGUAGAUAUCAAGUGGAACACCAGUGGCGAAGGCGAGUCCCUGGACAACUCCUGACACUGAGGCACGAAAGCUAGGGGAGCAAACAGG
This 253-nucleotide ribosomal RNA is filed under the name uncultured bacterium. RNAcentral describes it as "partial 16S ribosomal RNA". It matches the Rfam family "Bacterial small subunit ribosomal RNA", at positions 524 to 776 of the family's 1533-position model. The record is from RNAcentral.